This 3329-nucleotide long non-coding RNA is filed under the name Xyrichtys novacula (pearly razorfish). The record is from RNAcentral. Lineage: Eukaryota; Metazoa; Chordata; Actinopteri; Labriformes; Labridae.
CAGAAGAGAAGCGAAAGACAGAAAAGAAAGAAAAGAAAAGAAAGUUAUCCCAGUGGCGCUGAAAAGAGGAAUAGAAGGAGGACAGCAGAAAUAUUUACCGAAAGUUACUGUUUUUUUAAUUUUUUAUUUCCCCCACCGGGGCAGCGGCUACCGCAGGUUGAAGAGGGUCCGUCGUGUGGAAAUGACGAACAACUAGUGAGUAAUUUUUUUUCCUAUAUUGAGAAGUAAUCCAUUAAGUUAUGAAUGAACCCUUUACCUACUACGGCCAUGGCGCCGGUGCUGUGUUUUCUAUGCCCAGAGAAGAAUUUUUUUUUGCAGGAUGGUAGGGGAAGGUCCCGCCCACCUUCGCCUUUCAUUGGCGAGAAGUGAUGGUCUUCAAUUGGUUGUUCCUUAUGGCUGUGAAACGUCAUCGUCUGUCAGGUUAGGUUAAGGGUUAGGAUUAGAAGAUUCAGAAGUGCGAAAAAGUUCUGUAAUGUUCUGUAAUGUUCUGUUCAAUGUACAGAAUCGACAGCCCGCGUUUGGCUUGAGCAUGUGAUUUCUAGCUAAUCAGAGGCGAAGGAGGCGGGACUUUCCCCUACCAUCCUUGCUGUGCGGCGUAUAAUUACAAUAAUUCCUCAAAGUUUGUCUGAUCAGAAAAAUUUCAGCUGAGAGUUGUGGGCAUGCGUACAUGUAUGAUUUACUACGGUAGUCGUAACCUUAUGAGCUAGGCAUUCAUUGUAAAACACAGGAAGUAUCGGCAGAGCGCUACACAGAUUUUCAAUACAGUAACUCCUUGAAAGUUUCUCACUCUUAAAAAUUCCAAUGCUGACAGAAAGCCAAGAAUCUGUGCUUUCUGUCAAUAUAUUAUGUAUGGCACAUAUUGCGGUAAUCUUGAACAGUACCACCAAAACUGCAAAAUAGUGUAUUUUUUGUAGAAAUAUAGUAGUAAAUGGUAUUAAAUAGGGGAGAGUGGGGUAAGUUGAGCCACCCCCUGUUGCUUGGAAAUGGUAAAAAAAAUUGAUCAUGUGACCAAAUAUUUAGGAGAUGGGCAUCAAUUCAUGGAGUCUGUGAAUGUUAGAAGCACAUUGGUGAAGGGGUUAGACAUUUAUUUACAAAAAAAAAAAAAAACAUUUUUCCCAUUUUUAGUCUGUCUUAAGUUUUAUUAUAAUUGUGUCCAGACCAAAAAAGAUCAUUUUAAAUUUGUUUUAUACAUCAAUUGUGGUAUCUAUGAGCUACAACAUGAGGUCAAAAACCUAGCAUAAAAGUCCACCAUUUUAGUUUAGAGGACUAAUAAAGUCAUAACAGUAGUUCAACUGAGCCAGUGGCUCAACUGAAAGUAAAGGAGUCUGAUGAGAGGAUCAGAGUUUCAGUUCAACUUGUUGAAAUGUUACUUUUUCUUUUCAAAAAUACAGCUGUGAAUGUUCUGAAUCACUUACAGGCAUUCUCAUGUUAAAAUGUUUUCUUUGUUGUUGUUGUUGUUGUUGCAAAACAGCUUUUUAGAAGUUAUUUACAAUAAUAAUAAAAAUAAUUGAAUAGUGUAUAGUAGAUAAAAAAUACACAUGAAUUUGAAGAAGUGACUGUUAUUUAGGAAGAGAGAAGGUGAAGGAGGGCUGGGGUGGAGAGUGUGUGCGUGUGUGUGUGUGUGUGUGUGUGGGGAUUGCAGGGAUACGGCUCAACGUACCUAGCUGACCACUUUUUUUGGCAUGAUAUAUUAUCAAGACAGAUAUGUUUACACUCAUUCUGUUGGUUUCCAGGGAUGCACAACAUCUUGAAAUAUAUGCAGAUUGACUAGUUAAGACAAAAGACAAAACUAUGGUUGACUUGAUGUAGUGAUCCGAAAUAUGAAAAAUGGCUCAUCUUACCCCACUCCCCACUAUAUAGUAAUGUAUGAAAUGGCCGCUAUGGUACGAAGAAGAGGAGGAGAGCUAUUUGGAGGAGAGUGAUUUGAAUGAUGCUUCUUCUGAACUGAGGUAUGUUCAGAAGAAACAAAUUGUGCAUCACUUGCACACCUAAAAAGACUGUUUCUGAUUCUAAACAUGUAUAGGUUGACUUUUCAAAUGUGAAAUCAAAAACUUCUUGAGUAAUUACAAAAUUUGUUCUCAUUCAAGCCAUGAAAAACAAAUUAAUUUUUGUGUUUACUUCUUUUAGACAGCUGACAAUUCCAUAUAAUGUGCAAUAGUCACUAAUCAGAUGUUGAAAAGUGAAGUUCAAGUACUCUUAGAAAAAGGGACCAAAGCUCUCAGACUUAGGGCAUUUUCUGACCAUUUCACAGCUGUGAUAACAAAAUAUCUCCAAAUUUGCAUUUGUAGCCCUAGUAGGUUACAAAGUAUGUAACUAAGAGAAGUACUCACUCUGCAUUAAAUGAUUCAUGUCAGUGUUAUAGCUUUGAAUUAAUAUUGCUUUAAUGUGCGUUUUUUGUAAUUGAGAUUUUUUUUAUUUCCCUGGAUUAAAGGGCAAAUAAAUAAUAAAAAAUACUAAAAUGAAAAAAACAAACAUAUGCAUCAGCUAUCAGACAAAUUGUCAUUUUAAACAUCAAUAUUGGCCAGGAAUUUCACAAUCGGUGCAUCCCGAGAAUAAAAAGAUGCAGAGGGCCCCAUGCCUGCCUUUACCUAGGGCUCCCAAUUUCUUAAGUCCGCCCCUGUAUUUAAAUAUAUGACUUUUUCAUUAUAUGACUGUAUGGCUAAAAUGUGUGAAAUGCUGGGCAGAUAUGUGUUUUGAAUUGAGACCAUCUCCUCCAAAUUAAGGGAAAGAAAAAAAGGAAAAAUUGGAUCCAAGUUGUUCACAAUUCACCAACAUGGUCCCACUCCACCAAUGUUAUUACAAUGUCAACUUUAUCCAUCAUAGCUCCUUGUUCUUCCUCAGUACCCUUGAACACCUCUAGGAGAUCCUCCUAAUGAUAAUCUCUUUGAUUCAUGCCUCCACCAUCAUGUAUCUUAACAUUUCAAUGGAAAACAACAAAAAUUAUGCAAAUGGUAGGCUUAAAGUCUCUGAUAUGCUCCUGUUACGCUCCACUUAGGCAUUAAAACCUCAGUCACCAGGGAGGGGAUGAAGUGAUUUUGAUUUAAUUGUGUAUUAAAGGUGUUAUUUUUCUAUUUAGAAAGAUAAGCAGGGUUAUAAGUUUAUGUCUUUGUGAUGUGCUGCUGUAUUAUUUUGUAUGAUCACUGCAGGUUACAUCAGUAUAAACCAUGAGGUGUUUGAGGCACAUGGUACGAGGAUGGCAGCCCCGUGUGCCGUGAUGCAUCCUCCAUGUGUGGUACGCUUGGUCACUCAGGAUGAGAAUGAACGUCCUUACACACGUGCACACUUGCACAUACACACACAGUGGUCUGUGCAUGCAUUAUAAUGUCAGC